AGUCGUAACAAGGUCUCCGUUGGUGAUUCAGCGGAGGGAUCAUUACCGAGUUUACAACUCCCAAACCCAAUGUGAACGUUACCAAACUGUUGCCUCGGCGGGAUCUCUGCCCCGGGUGCGUCGCAGCCCCGGACCAAGGCGCCCGCCGGAGGACCAACCAAAACUCUUUUGUAUACCCCCUCGCGGGUUUUUAUAUCUGAGCCAUCUCGGCGCCUCUCGUAGGCGUUUCGAAAAUGAAUCAAAACUUUCAACAACGGAUCUCUUGGUUCUGGCAUCGAUGAAGAACGCAGCGAAAUGCGAUAAGUAAUGUGAAUUGCAGAAUUCAGUGAAUCAUCGAAUCUUUGAACGCACAUUGCGCCCGCCAGUAUUCUGGCGGGCAUGCCUGUCCGAGCGUCAUUUCAACCCUCGAACCCCUCCGGGGGGUCGGCGUUGGGGAUCGGCCCUUUACGGGGCCGGCCCCGAAAUACAGUGGCGGUCUCGCCGCAGCCUCUCCUGCGCAGUAGUUUGCACACUCGCAUCGGGAGCGCGGCGCGUCCAUUGCCGUAAAACACCCAACUUUCUGAAAUGUUGACCUCGGAUCAGGUAGGAAUACCCGCUGAACUUAAGCAUAU
This 611-nucleotide ribosomal RNA is filed under the name Trichoderma sp. T001-R2-1. RNAcentral's name for it is "eukaryotic LSU rRNA". The stretch from base 243 to 396 matches the Rfam family "5.8S ribosomal RNA". Lineage: Eukaryota; Fungi; Ascomycota; Sordariomycetes; Hypocreales; Hypocreaceae. The record is from RNAcentral.